This 497-nucleotide ribosomal RNA is filed under the name uncultured bacterium. Its description in RNAcentral is "partial 16S ribosomal RNA". It matches the Rfam family "Bacterial small subunit ribosomal RNA", at positions 28 to 507 of the family's 1533-position model. The record is from RNAcentral.
GAUGAACGCUGGCGGCGUGCCUAAUACAUGCAAGUCGAGCGAACAGACGAGGAGCUUGCUCCUCUGACGUUAGCGGCGGACGGGUGAGUAACACGUGGAUAACCUACCUAUAAGACUGGGAUAACUUCGGGAAACCGGAGCUAAUACCGGAUAAUAUAUUGAACCGCAUGGUUCAAUAGUGAAAGACGGUUUUGCUGUCACUUAUAGAUGGAUCCGCGCCGCAUUAGCUAGUUGGUAAGGUAACGGCUUACCAAGGCGACGAUGCGUAGCCGACGUGAGAGGGUGAUCGGCCACACUGGAACUGAGACACGGUCCAGACUCCUACGGGAGGCAGCAGUAGGGAAUCUUCCGCAAUGGGCGAAAGCCUGACGGAGCAACGCCGCGUGAGUGAUGAAGGUCUUCGGAUCGUAAAACUCUGUUAUUAGGGAAGAACAAAUGUGCAAGUAACUAUGCACGUCUUGACGGUACCUAAUCAGAAAGCCACGGCUAACUACGUG